GACAGAGGGUGCAAACGUUGCUCGGAUUUACUGGGCGUAAAGCGCGUGUAGGCGGCCUUGCAAGUCGGAUGUGAAAGCCCACGGCUCAACCGUGGAAGUGCAUCCGAAACUGCAUAGCUUGAGUCUCGGAGAGGAAGGUGGAAUGCUAGGUGUAGAGGUGAAAUUCGUAGAUAUCAAGCAGAACACCUGCGGCGAAGGCGGCCUUCUGGACGAUGACUGACGCUGAGACGCGAAAGCGUGGGGAGCAAACAGG
Molecule: ribosomal RNA, 253 nt
Filed under: uncultured bacterium
Lineage: Bacteria
Description: partial 16S ribosomal RNA
Rfam family: Bacterial small subunit ribosomal RNA
Source: RNAcentral